This 513-nucleotide ribosomal RNA is filed under the name uncultured bacterium. RNAcentral's name for it is "bacterial SSU rRNA". It matches the Rfam family "Bacterial small subunit ribosomal RNA", at positions 68 to 610 of the family's 1533-position model. The record is from RNAcentral.
GAGGACUUCGGUCCUAGUGGCGAACGGUCGCGUAACACGUAAGCAACCUGCCCUGAAGUGGGGGACAACAUCCCGAAAGGGGUGCUAAUACCGCAUGUGGUCACGAGUCGGCAUCGACUUGUGUCUAAAGAUUUAUCGCUUCAGGAUGGGCUUGCGGCCUAUCAGGUAGUUGGUGGGGUAAUGGCCUACCAAGCCGACGACGGGUAGCUGGUCUGAGAGGACGAUCAGCCGGAUUGGGACUGAGAUACGGCCCAGACUCCUACGGGGGGCAGCAAUUAGGAAUCUUGCGCAAUGGGGGAAACCCUGACGCAGCGACGUCGCGUGAAGGAUGAAGGCCCUCGGGUCGUAAACUUCUUUUGAGUGGGAAGAAAUUUGACGGUACCACUCGAAUAAGCCCCGGCUAACUACGUGCCAGCAGCCGCGGUAAUACGUAGGGGGCGAGCGUUGUCCGAAGUUACUGGGCGUAAAGCGCGCGUAGGCGGUUAUUUAAGUCUGGGGUGAAAGGUUCAGCGC